GAACGCACAUUGCGCCCGCCAGUAUUCUGGCGGGCAUGCCUGUUCGAGCGUCAUUUCACCACUCAAGCCUGGCUUGGUGUUGGGCGACGUCCCCUUUGGGGACGCGCCUCGAAACGCUCGGCGGCGUGGCACCGGCUUUAAGCGUAGCAGAAUCUUUCGCUUUGGAAGUCGGGGCCCCGUCUGCCGGAAGACCUACUCGCAAGGUUGACCUCGGAUCAGGCAGGGAUACCCGCUGAACUUAAG
RNAcentral lists this unclassified non-coding RNA (243 nucleotides) under uncultured Dothideomycetes. RNAcentral's name for it is "sequence contains 5.8S rRNA gene". The stretch from base 1 to 53 matches the Rfam family "5.8S ribosomal RNA", at positions 102 to 154 of the family's 154-position model. Lineage: Eukaryota; Fungi; Ascomycota; Dothideomycetes. The record is from RNAcentral.